Molecule: non-coding RNA, 81 nt
Organism: Eptesicus fuscus (big brown bat)
Lineage: Eukaryota; Metazoa; Chordata; Mammalia; Chiroptera; Vespertilionidae
Source: RefSeq, marked provisional
CGAUUGGAGGAGGGGCCACACUCGGGUGACCUUGGAUAUUUAGUACGAAGGCUCCCCAGCGCUGCCUCUCUCCCACUCUGG